UACACAUGCAAGUCGAACGGUAACGCGGGGCAACCUGGCGACGAGUGGCGAACGGGUGAGUAAUGCAUCGGAACGUGCCCAGUAGUGGGGGAUAGCUCGGCGAAAGCCGGAUUAAUACCGCAUACGACCUACGGGUGAAAGCGGGGGACCGCAAGGCCUCGCGCUAUUGGAGCGGCCGAUGUCAGAUUAGGUUGUUGGUGAGGUAAAGGCUCACCAAGCCGACGAUCUGUAGCUGGUCUGAGAGGACGACCAGCCACACUGGGACUGAGACACGGCCCAGACUCCUACGGGAGGCAGCAGUGGGGAAUUUUGGACAAUGGGGGCAACCCUGAUCCAGCCAUGCCGCGUGCGGGAAGAAGGCCUUCGGGUUGUAAACCGCUUUUGUCGGGGAAGAAACGCUCUGGGCUAAUACCCCGGGGUAAUGACGGUACCCGAAGAAUAAGCACCGGCUAACUACGUGCCAGCAGCCGCGGUAAUACGUAGGGUGCAAGCGUUAAUCGGAAUUACUGGGCGUAAA
RNAcentral lists this ribosomal RNA (517 nucleotides) under uncultured bacterium. Its description in RNAcentral is "bacterial SSU rRNA". It matches the Rfam family "Bacterial small subunit ribosomal RNA", at positions 50 to 564 of the family's 1533-position model. The record is from RNAcentral.